UACGUAGGGGGCGAGCGUUGUCCGGAUUUACUGGGCGUAAAGAGCGCGCAGGCGGCUGGUCAAGUCCGAUGUGAAAGCUCCCGGCUUAACUGGGAAAUUGCAUCGGAAACUGAUCGGCUGGAAGGUGGGAGAGGGUAGCGGAAUUCCCGGUGUAGUGGUGAAAUGCGUAGAGAUCGGGAGGAACACCGGUGGCGAAGGCGGGACUCUGGGCCUACCCUGACGCUGAGGCGCGAAGGCGUGGGGAGCAAACGGG
RNAcentral lists this ribosomal RNA (253 nucleotides) under uncultured bacterium. RNAcentral's name for it is "partial 16S ribosomal RNA". It matches the Rfam family "Bacterial small subunit ribosomal RNA", at positions 524 to 776 of the family's 1533-position model. The record is from RNAcentral.